ACGCUCGACACCUACGCGAGGCAGCAGUGGGGAAUAUUGCACAAUGGGGGAAACCCUGAUGCAGCGACGCCGCGUGGAGGAAGAAGGUCUUCGGAUUGUAAACUCCUGUUGUUGGGGAAAAAGAGGAUGGUACCCAACAAGGAAGUGACGGCUAACUACGUGCUAGCAGCCGCGGUAAUCUGAGCGGGCUGGCAAGGC
Molecule: ribosomal RNA, 198 nt
Filed under: uncultured bacterium
Lineage: Bacteria
Description: partial 16S ribosomal RNA
Rfam family: Bacterial small subunit ribosomal RNA
Source: RNAcentral